RNAcentral lists this signal recognition particle RNA (299 nucleotides) under Saimiri boliviensis boliviensis (Bolivian squirrel monkey). RNAcentral describes it as "Metazoan signal recognition particle RNA (ENSSBOG00000005161.1)". It matches the Rfam family "Metazoan signal recognition particle RNA". From Rfam's summary of the family: The signal recognition particle (SRP) is a universally conserved ribonucleoprotein. The record is from RNAcentral. Lineage: Eukaryota; Metazoa; Chordata; Mammalia; Primates; Cebidae.
GCCAGGCGUGGUGGCACAUGCCUGUAGUCCCAGCUAUUUGGGAGGCUGAGGCUGGAGGAUCUCUUGAGUCCAGGAGUUCUGGGCUGUAGUGCGCUAUGCCGAUCGGAUGUCCACCCUAAGUUCAGCAUCAAUAAGGUGACCUCCCGGGAGCAGGGGACCACCAGGUUGCCUAAGGAGGGGUGAACUGGCCCAGGUCAGAAACGGAGAAGAUCAAAACUCCUGUGCUGAUCAGUAGUGGGAUCACACCUGUGAAUAGCGACUGCACUCCAGCCUGGGCAACAUAGCAAGACCCCGUCUCU